This 70-nucleotide transfer RNA is filed under the name Leptocephalus sp. 'type II larva'. RNAcentral's name for it is "tRNA-Asp". It matches the Rfam family "tRNA". Rfam says of the family: Transfer RNA (tRNA) molecules are approximately 80 nucleotides in length. Their secondary structure includes four short double-helical elements and three loops (D, anti-codon, and T loops). Lineage: Eukaryota; Metazoa; Chordata; Actinopteri; Anguilliformes; Nettastomatidae. The record is from RNAcentral.
AAGACACUAGUAAUAAAGAUUACACUACCUUGUCAAGGCAGAAUUGCUGGUUAAACCCCUGCGUGUUUUA